GAUGAACGCUGGCGGCAUGCCUAAUACAUGCAAGUCGAACGAGAGGAAGGAAAGCUUGCUUUUCUGAAUCUAGUGGCGAACGGGUGAGUAACACGUAGGUAACCUGCCCAUGUGCCCGGGAUAACUUCUGGAAACGGAUGCUAAAACCGGAUAGGUAGCAGACAAGCAUUUGACUGCUAUUAAAGUGGCUAAGGCCAUGAACAUGGAUGGACCUGCGGUGCAUUAGCUAGUUGGUGAGGUAACGGCGCACCAAGGCGACGAUGCAUAGCCGGCCUGAGCGGGCGGACGGCCACAUUGGGACUGAGACACGGCCCAAACUCCUACGGGAGGCAGCAGUAGGGAAUUUUCGUCAAUGGGGGGAACCCUGAACGAGCAAUGCCGCGUGAGUGAGGAAGGUCUUCGGAUCGUAAAGCUCUGUUGUAAGAGAAAAACGACAUUCAUAGGGAAUGAUGAGUGAGUGAUGGUAUCUUACCAGAAAGUCACGGCUAACUACGUGCCAGCAGCCGCGGUAA
Molecule: ribosomal RNA, 512 nt
Filed under: uncultured bacterium
Lineage: Bacteria
Description: partial 16S ribosomal RNA
Rfam family: Bacterial small subunit ribosomal RNA
Source: RNAcentral